Molecule: ribosomal RNA, 758 nt
Filed under: uncultured marine bacterium
Lineage: Bacteria
Description: bacterial SSU rRNA
Rfam family: Bacterial small subunit ribosomal RNA
Source: RNAcentral
UACUGACAUUGAGGUGCGAAAGCGUGGGUAGCGAACAGGAUUAGAUACCCUGGUAGUCCACGCCGUAAACGAUGACAACUAGCUGUUGGGAGACAAGAUCUCUCAGUGGCGCAGCUAACGCUUUAAGUUGUCCGCCUGGGGAGUACGGCCGCAAGGUUAAAACUCAAAUGAAUUGACGGGGACCCGCACAAGCGGUGGAGCAUGUGGUUUAAUUCGAUGCAACGCGAAAAACCUUACCUACUCUUGACAUACUUGGAAGCUCUUGUAAUGAGAGUGUGCUUUUAGAGCCAAGAUACAGGUGCUGCAUGGCUGUCGUCAGCUCGUGUCGUGAGAUGUUGGGUUAAGUCCCAUAACGAGCGCAACCCUUACCCUUAUUUGCCAGCGGUUCGGCCGGGAACUAUAAGGGGACUGCCGGUGACAAACCGGAGGAAGGUGAGGACGACGUCAAGUCAUCAUGGCCCUUACNAGUAGGGCUACACACGUGCUACAAUGGGGAAUACAGACGGNCGCUAAAGCGUGAGCUGGUGCUAAUCCUAAAAAAUUUCUCGUAGUCCGGAUUGCAGUCUGCAACUCGGCUGCAUGAAGUCGGAAUCGCUAGUAAUCGCGAAUCAGCAUGUCGCGGUGAAUACGUUCUCNGGUCUUGUACACACCGCCCGUCACACCAUGGAAGUGUGUUGCACCAGAAGUAGGUAGUCUAACCUUCGGGAAGGCGCUUACCACGGUGNGAUCCAUGACUGGGGUGAAGUCGUAACAAGGUA